RNAcentral lists this ribosomal RNA (253 nucleotides) under uncultured bacterium. RNAcentral's name for it is "partial 16S ribosomal RNA". It matches the Rfam family "Bacterial small subunit ribosomal RNA", at positions 524 to 776 of the family's 1533-position model. The record is from RNAcentral.
GACGGAGGAUGCAAGCGUUAUCCGGAAUUAUUGGGCGUAAAGCGUCCGCAGGUGGCUGUUCAAGUCUGCUGUCAAAGCGCAGAGCUUAACUCUGUACAGGCGGUGGAAACUGAAGAGCUAGAGUAUGGUAGGGGUAGAGGGAAUUCCCGGUGUAGCGGUGAAAUGCGUAGAUAUCGGGAAGAACAUCGGUGGCGAAGGCGCUCUGCUGGACCAUAACUGACACUCAGGGACGAAAGCUAGGGGAGCGAAUGGG